UAAAUGGAGAGUUUGAUCCUGGCUCAGGACGAACGCUGGCGGCGUGCCUAAUACAUGCAAGUCACCUAAAUGGAGAGUUUGAUCCUGGCUCAGGACGAACGCUGGCGGCGUGCCUAAUACAUGCAAGUCGAGCGGACUUGAUGGAGUGCUUGCACUCCUGAUAGUUAGCGGCGGACGGGUGAGUAACACGUAGGUAACCUGCCCGUAAGACUGGGAUAACAUUCGGAAACGAAUGCUAAUACCGGAUACACAACUUGGUCGC
RNAcentral lists this ribosomal RNA (262 nucleotides) under Paenibacillus sp. Leaf72. RNAcentral describes it as "partial 16S ribosomal RNA". The stretch from base 67 to 262 matches the Rfam family "Bacterial small subunit ribosomal RNA", at positions 1 to 189 of the family's 1533-position model. The record is from RNAcentral. Lineage: Bacteria; Bacillati; Bacillota; Bacilli; Caryophanales; Paenibacillaceae.